Molecule: ribosomal RNA, 593 nt
Filed under: uncultured bacterium
Lineage: Bacteria
Description: bacterial SSU rRNA
Rfam family: Bacterial small subunit ribosomal RNA
Source: RNAcentral
CUCCUACGGGAGGCAGCAGUGAGGAAUAUUGGACAAUGGUCGGAAGACUGAUCCAGCCAUGCCGCGUGCAGGAUGAAGGUCUUAUGGAUUGUAAACUGCUUUUGUAAGGGAAGAAUAAGGACUACGUGUAGUUUGAUGACGGUACCUUAUGAAUAAGCAUCGGCUAACUCCGUGCCAGCAGCCGCGGUAAUACGGAGGAUGCGAGCGUUAUCCGGAAUCAUUGGGUUUAAAGGGUCUGUAGGCGGGCUUGUAAGUCAGAGGUGAAAGCGCUCAGCUCAACUGAGCAACUGCCUUUGAAACUGUUGGUCUUGAAUGGUUGUGAAGUAGUUGGAAUGUGUAGUGUAGCGGUGAAAUGCUUAGAUAUUACACAGAACACCGAUAGCGAAGGCAUAUUACUAACAAUUAAUUGACGCUGAUGGACGAAAGCGUGGGGAGCGAACAGGAUUAGAUACCCUGGUAGUCCACGCUGUAAACGAUGGAUACUAGCUGUUUGGACGCGAGUUUGAGUGGCUAAGCGAAAGUGAUAAGUAUCCCACCUGGGGAGUACGUUCGCAAGAAUGAAACUCAAAGGAAUUGACGGGGGCCCGCACAAG